AAAGUACUCCCUCCGUCCCAAAAUUCUUGUCUUAGAUUUGUCUAGAUACGGAUGUAUCAAGUCACAUUUUAGUAUUAGAUACAUCCGUAUGUAGACAAAUCUAAGACAAGAAAUUUCGUACAGAGGGAGUAGUUG
Molecule: non-coding RNA, 135 nt
Organism: Triticum aestivum (bread wheat)
Lineage: Eukaryota; Viridiplantae; Streptophyta; Magnoliopsida; Poales; Poaceae
Source: Rfam